GACGAACGCUGGCGGCGUGCUUAACACAUGCAAGUCGAACGGAAAGGCCCUGCUUUUGUGGGGUGCUCGAGUGGCGAACGGGUGAGUAACACGUGAGUAACCUGCCCUUGACUUUGGGAUAACUUCAGGAAACUGGGGCUAAUACCGGAUAGGAGCUCCUGCUGCAUGGUGGGGGUUGGAAAGUUUCGGCGGUUGGGGAUGGACUCGCGGCUUAUCAGCUUGUUGGUGGGGUAGUGGCUUACCAAGGCUUUGACGGGUAGCCGGCCUGAGAGGGUGACCGGCCACAUUGGGGCUGAGAUACGGCCCAGACUCCUACGGGAGGCAGCAGUGGGGAAUAUUGCACAAUGGGCGGAAGCCUGAUGCAGCAACGCCGCGUGCGGGAUGACGGCCCUCGGGUUGUAAACCGCUUUCGCCUGUGACGAAGCGUGAGUGACGGUAAUGGGUAAAGAAGCACCGGCUAACUACGUGCCAGCAGCCGCGGUGAUACGUAGGGUGCGAGCGUUGUCCGGAUUUAUUGGGCGUAAAGGGCUCGUAGGUGGUUGAUCGCGUCGGAAGUGUAAUCUUGGGGCUUAACCCUGAGCGUGCUUUCGAUACGGGUUGACUUGAGGAAGGUAGGGGAGAAUGGAAUUCCUGGUGGAGCGGUGGAAUGCGCAGAUAUCAGGAGGAACACCAGUGGCGAAGGCGGUUCUCUGGGCCUUUCCUGACGCUGAGGAGCGAAAGCGUGGGGAGCGAACAGGCUUAGAUACCCUGGUAGUCCACGCCGUAAACGGUGGGUACUAGGUGUGGGGUCCAUUCCACGGGUUCCGUGCCGUAGCUAACGCUUUAAGUACCCCGCCUGGGGAGUACGGCCGCAAGGCUAAAACUCAAAGGAAUUGACGGGGCCCCGCACAAGCGGCGGAGCAUGCGGAUUAAUUCGAUGCAACGCGUAGAACCUUACCUGGGUUUGACAUGGAUCGGGAGUGCUCAGAGAUGGGUGUGCCUCUUUUGGGGUCGGUUCACAGGUGGUGCAUGGCUGUCGUCAGCUCGUGUCGUGAGAUGUUGGGUUAAGUCCCGCAACGAGCGCAACCCUUGUUCACUGUUGCCAGCACGUUAUGGUGGGGACUCAGUGGAGACCGCCGGGGUCAACUCGGAGGAAGGUGGGGAUGACGUCAAGUCAUCAUGCCCCUUAUGUCCAGGGCUUCACGCAUGCUACAAUGGCUGGUACAGAGAGUGGCGAGCCUGUGAGGGUGAGCGAAUCUCGGAAAGCCGGUCUCAGUUCGGAUUGGGGUCUGCAACUCGACCUCAUGAAGUCGGAGUCGCUAGUAAUCGCAGAUCAGCAACGCUGCGGUGAAUACGUUCCCGGG
RNAcentral lists this ribosomal RNA (1343 nucleotides) under uncultured bacterium. RNAcentral describes it as "16S ribosomal RNA". It matches the Rfam family "Bacterial small subunit ribosomal RNA", at positions 28 to 1378 of the family's 1533-position model. The record is from RNAcentral.